UGUAAUCCCAAUUCUUUCUCCAUUUGGAACCCUAGAAAUUGAUAUCACGUGAAGGGGAAUCUCCAGUUCAACUCUGUCCAGCGCCGCACUCAUCCCCAGCUUCGCCCAUUGCCUCAGUCCACAACCCACAACCGUCGUGACAUGCAUCGAUCUUUGAGGUGACGAUAAUUACUUGGAGAACACUGUAUGUCCUUAAAUUUGUAGACACGAAGUAAGUUUCUUUCUAAUCUCAUUCAGUUUGUGAAAUCAAUAUCCUAAGUUAUUUGCAUAUUCAUAAUGGAAAUGAUACUUAGUUAUUUGCAUAUUCAUAAUGUGCAAUCGGCAUAGACAGUGGCUGCUCUCUCAGGAAUCCGAUGGGUGUGAGUGGGCUUGAAUUGGGAGAUCUUGGCUUCAAUUGGUCCAUGGUUUGAACUGUGAAAUGGGGUGCAAUUGAAUUUUGUUUGGAUAUUAUUGAUAAAACUGUACAAGAAAAUAAGAAUGCAUUUAUAAUGCAUGGACAUUAAUGGAAGUGUAGGGAAUUUACUUAAACAUGUACAGCGAAAUUUAAUAAAUUUCAAUUUUCA
This 563-nucleotide long non-coding RNA is filed under the name Olea europaea subsp. europaea. The record is from RNAcentral. Lineage: Eukaryota; Viridiplantae; Streptophyta; Magnoliopsida; Lamiales; Oleaceae.